AGUCGAACGAUGAAGCCAGCUUGCUGGUGGAUUAGUGGCGAACGGGUGAGUAACACGUGAGUAACCUGCCCUCCACUUCGGGAUAACUCCGGGAAACCGGUGCUAAUACCGGAUAUGACGCGUCCUCGCAUGGGGGUGUGUGGAAAGAUUUAUCGGUGGGGGAUGGGCUCGCGGCCUAUCAGCUUGUUGGUGGGGUGAUGGCCUACCAAGGCGUCGACGGGUAGCCGGCCUGAGAGGGUGACCGGCCACACUGGGACUGAGACACGGCCCAGACUCCUACGGGAGGCAGCAGUGGGGAAUAUUGCACAAUGGGCGCAAGCCUGAUGCAGCGACGCCGCGUGAGGGAUGACGGCCUUCGGGUUGUAAACCUCUUUCAGUAGGGAAGAAGCUUUCGGGUGACGGUACCUGCAGAAGAAGCGCCGGCUAACUACGUGCCAGCAGCCGCGGUAAUACGUAGGGCGCAAGCGUUGUCCGGAAUUAUUGGGCGUAAAGAGCUCGUAGGCGGUUUGUCGCGUCUGCUGUGAAAACGCGAGGCUUAACCUCGCGCCUGCAGUGGGUACGGGCAGACUAGAGUGCGGUAGGGGAGACUGGAAUUCCUGGUGUAGCGGUGGAAUGCGCAGAUAUCAGGAGGAACACCGGUGGCGAAGGCGGGUCUCUGGGCCGUUACUGACGCUGAGGAGCGAAAGCAUGGGGAGCGAACAGGAUUAGAUACCCUGGUAGUCCAUGCCGUAAACGUUGGGCACUAGGUGUGGGGACUGUUUCCACGGUUUCCGCGCCGCAGCUAACGCAUUAAGUGCCCCGCCUGGGGAGUACGGCCGCAAGGCUAAAACUCAAAGGAAUUGACGGGGGCCCGCACAAGCGGCGGAGCAUGCGGAUUAAUUCGAUGCAACGCGAAGAACCUUACCAAGGCUUGACAUACACCGGAAACAUCCAGAGAUGGGUGCCCCGUAAGGUCGGUGUACAGGUGGUGCAUGGUUGUCGUCAGCUCGUGUCGUGAGAUGUUGGGUUAAGUCCCGCAACGAGCGCAACCCUUGUCCUGUGUUGCCAGCGGGUUAUGCCGGGGACUCAUGGGAGACUGCCGGGGUCAACUCGGAGGAAGGUGGGGAUGACGUCAAAUCAUCAUGCCCCUUAUGUCUUGGGCUUCACGCAUGCUACAAUGGCCGGUACAAAGGGUUGCGAUGCCGUGAGGUGGAGCGAAUCCCAAAAAGCCGGUCUCAGUUCGGAUUGGGGUCUGCAACUCGACCCCAUGAAGUCGGAGUCGCUAGUAAUCGCAGAUCAGCAACGCUGCGGUGAAUACGUUCUCGGGCCUUGUACACACCGCCCGUCACGUCACGAAAGUCGGUAACACCCGAAGCCGGUGGCCCAACCCUUGUGGGG
This 1377-nucleotide ribosomal RNA is filed under the name Georgenia sp. B015-90. Its description in RNAcentral is "bacterial SSU rRNA". It matches the Rfam family "Bacterial small subunit ribosomal RNA". Lineage: Bacteria; Bacillati; Actinomycetota; Actinomycetes; Allobogoriellales; Allobogoriellaceae. The record is from RNAcentral.